ACGUGACUGCAAUGGUUGCCUCCGCGCGAGCCGUGCCAAACUUGUCCUCUCUCUGAAAAGCGGCUCUCCGUCUCUUUCCGCACCGCGCGGUUUUUGCCCAUUUCGGGGGUUUAUGACGCCCGGGGACCCCUGAGAGCCACUGUUUUGCAGAUUUUGAGAGCCGGAAGAAAACUUUAUAGAGAGUACCACCGCGGAGAAACGCGGGGGAACUUCCAGCAGCAGCCCGAGGGGACCGGGAGGAGGAGUCAACAGGUCCCAGCUUAGGAGCUGCUAUCGAUUCAAGGGGAGAUUUCCUUGGCCAAGGACAGAGAGAUUGACGUUUUUGGGAGGAAGGGUGAAUCCGAGCAAUCGAUGCGGGCCGUCCACCAGCCGGAAGCCCAGUUGGCCCAACGAAACACCACUCAAUCAGUCUGAGCAGCAACACAAAGGGGAGGCUGCUGGCGAGCACCAGAGGCUGCAGAGAAGAUGCUCGUCCAAGGAGAAGAGCUUUGUCCUGGCAUCAUGUGAUCGGCGCAUUCCCGAGGAGCGCUCCGCAGUGGAAGAGUGAAUCUCCGCUCCCGUGGAAACAUCACGGCCACGAAGCAACCCCAUCGCCACUUUCCCAACUCCUGUACUGCAGCCAUCAAAGUCACUUGUUCUUGCCUCAACUUGCCUCCUGUCUCUUUUUACCCCCCCCCCUUUCAUCUUAACGAUAAGGAAUGGCCUUGCUAGUUUCCAGCCACCCCAACGCCUCUCGCAAAUAAGACCUUUCAAACGGUUUCACAAUACCAGAGAAAGGAAGGAUAACACACUCUCCAGUCGUCUUUUAUACUUCUACCUUGUGUUUCUUUUUUUAUCUUUGUACACCCUUAACACACACAUUCAUAAACCAGCAGGAUUUUUUUGUGCAAUCACUGCAGCCUUUUUACGGACGCCAUUACUCAAGUUUCGAAAUCACAAGGGGAUUUUUUUUCCGUUUGGCAGUCUAUUGGAAUAUCUACUCAUGCAGAGCCCCUAUGGGGGAUUAAACCAGGAAUCCACACUGACUUCUAUUCGGCUCCGUUAGAUAUUUUGACGGUGGUUUUUCUGUGACUGGAGGUGGACUGAGCCAUCAUGGCAGGGAAGGGCAACCCUCACCUCCAUGGCUUCCCCAUGCCCACUUACUCCUACUUCUUCCCCCACAUGUUGGGGAGCCUGUCCCCACCAGCGCUCGCGGGACUCCCCAUGAGUGGAUACAGCACCCCCUCAC
Notothenia coriiceps (black rockcod) is the source of this 1228-nucleotide long non-coding RNA. RefSeq lists it as uncharacterized. The transcript has 4 exons. Lineage: Eukaryota; Metazoa; Chordata; Actinopteri; Perciformes; Nototheniidae. The record is from RefSeq and is a predicted model, not a curated record.